UUUCUUUUCUUCUUCUCUCUAUACGUUGGUGUUCUAACCAAUAAUCACCGAUGCGAUGUUCUGUUCGAUCGAUUCAGGAACCAACUAACGGAUGCCAAAGUGCUAUACUUUGAGAGUUCGUUAAACGGAUGCCAAAGUACUAUACUUUGAGAGUUCGUUAAACGGAAGCCAAAGUACUAUACUUUGUGAUUUCGGUAAACGGAAUCCAAAGUGUUACACUAUGUGAAAUUCGUUAAGGUUCGAAUCUCGUGACUACCGUUAAGGUUUGAUUUGGGUUUUACACAAAUACGUAUUCCAUUCUGUUAAACUAUAUGUUUAACUACCAAAAAUACUCCCAACUACACACUCACAAUCAAACAAACUAUUAAAUCAUCAGAAGGUCCAGAAUAAUAAAGUGCAUGCUUAAUUAUCGGAAGAAGUAGAAUCAAGAAGCUUGUUAACUCAAUCUUGCAUGCUUAUAAAGGAUUAA
RNAcentral lists this long non-coding RNA (469 nucleotides) under Helianthus annuus (common sunflower). RNAcentral's name for it is "hypothetical non coding rna". Lineage: Eukaryota; Viridiplantae; Streptophyta; Magnoliopsida; Asterales; Asteraceae. The record is from RNAcentral.